UCUUGUUUCUUAUCCAAAGAUUGCAUCCAUUAUAAAGCUUUCGAUUUGUUCUGAUGUGAAUUCCCCAAUGCUUUUUAAAAGCUAAAAGCAUGGCAUUCUGUUGUAGGAAAUUACAAUUGCAAUGUUUUUGUAGCUUUAGUUCAUUUCUAAUGAUUUGUUAUAAUAUAGGCCAAGACCUUUUGAAAUCUGGGACAUUCAUGGGCAUCUGAUGUGGAAAUCAACCCCAGUAAUAAGAUGCUACUUCGGAAAGGAGUUCUUCAUGCCAUCAUUUUUAAUUUGAGUUACUACAUUCACUACUGAUUGAUUCACCCUGAUUAAACUAUUACCUUUAAAGUUCACUGUUUGGUCUAUGAAUAACUGGCCUUUAUGAUUCUAAGGUAGAAAGCUUAAGUUUAAUAGAAGAUUUUGUAUAGUGUUUAACAAUAGAAAUUUUCACAAAGCAGCUUUAUUGAAAUCAAAUAAUUAAAUUGGGUCUAUAAACUUUUGGAGUGUUUAACUGUAAAAUACACUACUCUUGGGAUUAUAAUCAUAACCAUCGCCAUUAGUCAAAAUUGUGCACUUUUUGCUAUUUGGUAAAUAGCACCAUCUAGUGGUAGGUUUGGUCUAUGGCAAAUUUUGACGGUAAAACUAACACACCUGAAGACUCGAAACACACGAAUAUACAGCAAUAAGGAAGCGUGUAUCAAAUCACAACUUAUAAGGUCAAAGUUAUUAAAUGGUUAUGCGUGGACAGAUUGAUUUUAAGGCAUGUUCAGUCCAGGGGUUGAAAAAUUAUUCAGACCCUAGAACACAAAUAAUUGAGCUCUUGGAAAUGAUUUUGUCAAAGGGACAACGUUUAUGCAUUGACUUCCUGGAACUGCUGAAAGAAGAAGAGGUGAAUGAAAGCAGCCCACAGCUCAAAGAGUGGAUAACGUCAGUAAACACAUCAGAAAUAAAAGCAGUUCCACAGAACUCUGUCCAAAGCUUAGAAACAAGUGCAGCUUCACAGAUAUCUGUCCAAUCCUCAGGUUGCUCAGUCACUAUUAACUCCUCUGCCCAUGUAUUCAGACCAAGUGGGGCUCAGAUUUCUGGUCUCACUCUGAACAUAAAUGUGAGACCUCAAAAACAGGAAUAAUUUACACAAGCAUGUGAGCUAAACAGAAUGACCAGGUUAAGAUGUGGAAGUUUCUGGAGUACACAAACAGCACAAAGGCUGCUGAGCUUCUGAUUGAUGCCUUAUAUAAACCUGCACCUGACAUCAUGGAGGACCUGAACAUGGGCUAACAUCUCAGUGUCAAAAAUCAAACCAAAUACCUCCUGAUGGGAUGUGUCUUUUUUAUUCCAGUUUCUGUAUAAAAAUAUUUUUUUUAUAUCUUAUAAAUGCUGUGAGUAAAU
This is a long non-coding RNA of Silurus meridionalis, 1374 nucleotides long. RefSeq lists it as uncharacterized. The transcript is spliced from 6 exons. Lineage: Eukaryota; Metazoa; Chordata; Actinopteri; Siluriformes; Siluridae. The record is from RefSeq and is a predicted model, not a curated record.